This 255-nucleotide ribosomal RNA is filed under the name uncultured bacterium. Its description in RNAcentral is "partial 16S ribosomal RNA". It matches the Rfam family "Bacterial small subunit ribosomal RNA", at positions 524 to 776 of the family's 1533-position model. The record is from RNAcentral.
UACGGAGGGUGCAAGCGUUUAUCCGGAUUUACUGGGUUUAAAGGGCGCGUAGGUGGGCGAGAAAGUCAGUGGUGAAAUCUCCGGGCUUAACCCGGAAACUGCCAUUGAUACUAUUUGUCUUGAAUACUUUGGAGGUAAGCGGAAUAUGUCAUGUAGCGGUGAAAUGCUUAGAUAUGACAUAGAACACCAAAUUGCGCAGGCAGCUUACUACACAGUAAUUGACACUGAGGCACGAAAGCGUGGGGAUCAAACAGG